AUGGUUAAUCCUUAUAUAUAAUGAGUAAACAUAAAAUGACCAAGAGAGUGAUAUUCAGUGUAAAGCUACAAAACGCUCCAUUAAAUACUAAAGUGUAAACGAUUACCAUUGGGUUCUAAGCUCUUUAACAGCUCGUUUUGCCUAAUCCACAAAUACAAAAAUUCUGUCACUUGCCCAUAAACUAAAUACUUUCUUUAAAUCCUCCUCCGUAGUACCUUUGUCUAAGCUUCCAACAAAUAUUUCAAAAUCUUUACGCUUACGUCUAUCAUGGAGAACAUCAUGAUGCUCUUCUUACACAUCAACAGCUUCUCCAAACUUGAC
This 321-nucleotide long non-coding RNA is filed under the name Brassica napus (rape). Its description in RNAcentral is "long non-coding RNA (BNAP_LNC011591)". Lineage: Eukaryota; Viridiplantae; Streptophyta; Magnoliopsida; Brassicales; Brassicaceae. The record is from RNAcentral.